GUUGCUUCCUAAUGGUGAACUCCCUGUAAAUCAAAGAUGAGGGAUGUUUCAAGUUUCCGAAGCAUAGAUCAAACGAGUUCUCAAUCAGUGUUAAACAGCGCCAGCGUGUUGUUUCGUGUUGCGCUGGGUGCUACCUGUCUGCUGAUACAUAU
Syzygium oleosum is the source of this 152-nucleotide small nucleolar RNA. RefSeq annotates it as small nucleolar RNA snoR137. The transcript has a single exon. Lineage: Eukaryota; Viridiplantae; Streptophyta; Magnoliopsida; Myrtales; Myrtaceae. The record is from RefSeq and is a predicted model, not a curated record.